ACUUAAGUAAUUUAAUUAAAAAUGUUGAUUUGUGGUGUCAGAAAUAUGAAAUAUCAUCUUAGGUU
Molecule: transfer RNA, 65 nt
Filed under: Troglophilus neglectus
Lineage: Eukaryota; Metazoa; Arthropoda; Insecta; Orthoptera; Rhaphidophoridae
Description: tRNA-His
Source: RNAcentral